RNAcentral lists this ribosomal RNA (98 nucleotides) under Acanthosepion pharaonis. The record is from RNAcentral. Lineage: Eukaryota; Metazoa; Mollusca; Cephalopoda; Sepiida; Sepiidae.
UUGAAACACUGGUUCCUAUAUGAUCACUGAAGUUAAGCAAUAUCAAGCCUGGUCAGUACCUAGAUAGGUGACUGCUUGGGAAUACCAGGUGUUGUAAG